RNAcentral lists this ribosomal RNA (497 nucleotides) under uncultured bacterium. RNAcentral's name for it is "partial 16S ribosomal RNA". It matches the Rfam family "Bacterial small subunit ribosomal RNA", at positions 28 to 507 of the family's 1533-position model. The record is from RNAcentral.
GACGAACGCUGGCGGCGUGCCUAAUACAUGCAAGUUGAGCGCUGAAGGUUGGUCCUUGUACCAACUGGAUGAGCAGCGAACGGGUGAGUAACGCGUGGGGAAUCUGCCUUUGAGCGGGGGACAACAUUUGGAAACGAAUGCUAAUACCGCAUAAAAACUUUAAACACAAGUUUUAAGUUUGAAAGAUGCAAUUGCAUCACUCAAAGAUGAUCCCGCGUUGUAUUAGCUAGUUGGUGAGGUAAAGGCUCACCAAGGCGAUGAUACAUAGCCGACCUGAGAAGGUGAUCGGCCACAUUGGGACUGGGGCACGGCCCAAGACCCUACGGGAGGGAGCAGGAGGGGAACUUCGGACAAGGGCGGAAGUCCGGCCGAGCAACGCCGGGUGGGAGAAGAAGGUUCUCGGAUCGUAAAACUCCGUUGGUAGGGAAGAACGUUGGUGAGAGUGGAAAGCUCAUCAAGUGACGGUAACUAAACAGAAAGGGACGGCUAACUACGUG